This 151-nucleotide non-coding RNA is filed under the name Lingulaulax polyedra. Lineage: Eukaryota; Dinophyceae; Gonyaulacales; Lingulodiniaceae. The record is from RNAcentral.
UGAUAUGCGGCUGCUCGUGGAUACUGUUUUCUUCCACGGCCCGAAGCCCCUCGUCUUGCAGCUCGGCCUUUUCCUCAACUCCAUUUCUGCCGAUGACAUGCGGGCUCCGCACUUGCGGGCGGGCGCGCUUCCCACGCAGCUCUUGAGGAUU